CUACGGGAUGCUGCAGUGGGGAAUAUUGCACAAUGGGCGCAAGCCUGAUGCAGCCAUGCCGCGUGUAUGAAGAAGGCCUUCGGGUUGUAAAGUACUUUCAGCGAGGAGGAAGGGAGUAAAGUUAAUACCUUUGCUCAUUGACGUUACCCGCAGAAGAAGCACCGGCUAACUCCGUGCCAGCAGCCGCGGUAAUACGGAGGGUGCAAGCGUUAAUCGGAAUGACUGGGCGUAAAGCGCACGCAGGCGGUUUGUUAAGUCAGAUGUGAAAUCCCCGGGCUCAACCUGGGAACUGCAUCUGAUACUGGCAAGCUUGAGUCUCGUAGAGGGGGGUAGAAUUCCAGGUGUAGCGGUGAAAUGCGUAGAGAUCUGGAGGAAUACCGGUGGCGAAGGCGGCCCCCUGGACGAAGACUGACGCUCAGGUGCGAAAGCGUGGGGAGCAAACAGGAUUAGAUACCCUUGUAGUC
This 464-nucleotide ribosomal RNA is filed under the name uncultured bacterium. RNAcentral's name for it is "partial 16S ribosomal RNA". It matches the Rfam family "Bacterial small subunit ribosomal RNA", at positions 339 to 795 of the family's 1533-position model. The record is from RNAcentral.